GUGAGGAAUAUUGCGCAAUGGGGGAAACCCUGACGCAGCGACGCCGCGUGGAGGACGAAGGCCUUCGGGUUGUAAACUCCUGUCAGUUGGGAAGAGAACGGACGGUACCAACUGAGGAAGCUUCGGCUAACUACGUGCCAGCAGCCGCGGUAAGACGUAGGGAGCAAGCGUUGUCCGGAAUUACUGGGCGUAAAGAGCUCGUAGGCGGGAGCGUAAGUCUGAAAUGAAAUUCCAAGGCUCAACUUUGGGGCUAUUUUAGAUACUGCGUUUCUUGAGGGUAUCAGAGGAGUGUAGAAUUCCCGGUGUAGCGGUGAAAUGCGUAGAUAUCGGGAGGAAUACCAGUGGCGAAGGCGACACUCUGGGAUAUUCCUGACGCUGAGGAGCGAAAGCGUGGGGAGCAAACGGG
Molecule: ribosomal RNA, 406 nt
Filed under: uncultured bacterium
Lineage: Bacteria
Description: bacterial SSU rRNA
Rfam family: Bacterial small subunit ribosomal RNA
Source: RNAcentral